This 327-nucleotide ribosomal RNA is filed under the name uncultured Chlorobiota bacterium. RNAcentral describes it as "bacterial SSU rRNA". It matches the Rfam family "Bacterial small subunit ribosomal RNA", at positions 28 to 351 of the family's 1533-position model. The record is from RNAcentral. Lineage: Bacteria; Pseudomonadati; Chlorobiota.
GACGAACGCUGGCGGCGUGCUUAACACAUGCAAGUCUACGAGAAUAAGGUAGCAAUAUCUUUAGUAAAGUGGCGCAAGGGUGAGUAAUAUGUAAGUAAUCUACCUAUAGGUUUGGAAUAACUCUUCGAAAGAGGGGAUAAUACCAAAUAAUGCAGCGGCAUCACAUGAUGAUGUUGUUAAAGUCUACGGGAUGCCUAUAGAUGAGCUUGCAGCCGAUUAGCUAGUUGGUAGGGUAAUGGCCUACCAAGGCAACGAUCGGUAGCUGGUCUGAGAGGAUGAUCAGCCACACUGGAACUGAGACACGGUCCAGACUCCUACGGGAGGCUG